GUGAGAGGGGGCUUGCCCCCCGAUGGCGAAGUGUCAGUCAACUUAUGUGUGACUGAUCCACCGCAAUCGGGGGCAAGCCCCCUCCCAC
RNAcentral lists this unclassified non-coding RNA (88 nucleotides) under Pseudomonas rhodesiae. The record is from RNAcentral. Lineage: Bacteria; Pseudomonadati; Pseudomonadota; Gammaproteobacteria; Pseudomonadales; Pseudomonadaceae.